GGGGGGGAAACCUACGACCAGUGCAACAGAGAGCAAACCGCCGAUGGCCCACGCAAGUGGGAUCAGGUAAGGGUGAAAGGGUGCGGUAAGAGCGCACCGCGCGGCUGGUAACAGUCCGUGGCACGGUAAACUCCACCCGGAGCAAGGCCAAAUAGGGGUUCAUAAGGUACGGCCCGUACUGAACCCGGGUAGGCUGCUUGAGCCAGUGAGCGAUUGCUGGCCUAGAUGAAUGACUGUCCACGACAGAACCCGGCUUAUCGGUCAGUUUCACCU
This 273-nucleotide RNase P RNA is filed under the name Salmonella enterica subsp. enterica serovar Enteritidis. RNAcentral's name for it is "partial RNase P RNA component class A". It matches the Rfam family "Bacterial RNase P class A", at positions 89 to 367 of the family's 367-position model. From Rfam's summary of the family: Ribonuclease P (RNase P) is a ubiquitous endoribonuclease, found in archaea, bacteria and eukarya as well as chloroplasts and mitochondria. Its best characterised activity is the generation of mature 5'-ends of tRNAs by cleaving the 5'-leader elements of precursor-tRNAs. Lineage: Bacteria; Pseudomonadati; Pseudomonadota; Gammaproteobacteria; Enterobacterales; Enterobacteriaceae. The record is from RNAcentral.